GGCGGUUCUUGGGUGACGUACCCUGGAAUUGGGCUCCCUCCUCUCUGGUUCCGGGGUGUGUCCCCCGAAAACUGCC
This is a non-coding RNA of Myotis brandtii (Brandt's bat), 76 nucleotides long. NCBI's taxonomy places the organism in Eukaryota, Metazoa, Chordata, Mammalia, Chiroptera, Vespertilionidae. The record is from Rfam.